This is a long non-coding RNA of Heterocephalus glaber (naked mole-rat), 496 nucleotides long. NCBI's taxonomy places the organism in Eukaryota, Metazoa, Chordata, Mammalia, Rodentia, Bathyergidae. The record is from Ensembl.
GGCCCUGGGUUCAAUACCCAGAAGAAAGGAAAGAAAGAAAGAAAGAAAGAAAGAAAGAAAGAAAGAAAGAAAGAAAGAAUUGUACUGAGAAUAUUGUAUGUGAUAGGCAUCUGGGCUCUGAGAGUGAGGUUAUGGCACUCUCUCUAACUUCAAGAUGCUCAUCUUCCUUAGGGGAGGCAGAGAGAGAAUGCAGACAAAGCCAAAUUAGGAGAAAAGACAAAGUGAAUGAAAAAUUAAGCACUGUACCACAAGGUCUAAAUGCAACAGAACCAACUUACCACGGACUGAAACUUCCAGAACGGUCAUUAGAGCGCGCUGAAUCCAACACGACACAGACACUCCACGAGAGGACCACGUGAGAACACAGGGAGAAGACAGCCAUCUACCAGAGACUCAGGAAAAAACAACCCCUGACACCUUCAUCUUACUUUAACAUUCUGACGUUUGAGAAAAUAAAUUUCUAUUAUUUAAGCCAUUCAUUCUGUGGUACUUUGUU